UACGGAGAGUGCAAACGUUGUUCGGAUUCACUGGGUGUAAAGGGCACGUAGGCGGCUCGGCAAAUCGGUCGUGGAAUCCCGACGCUUACCGUCGGAACGGCGGCCGAAAAUACCGGGCUCGAGGGCGUGAGGGGUCACUGGAACUCCUGGUGAAGCGGUGAAAUGCGUAGAUAUCAGGAGGAACGCCGGAGGCGAAAGCGAGUGACUGGCGCGUUCCUGACGCUGAGGUGCGAAAGCUAGGGGAGCAAACAGG
This 253-nucleotide ribosomal RNA is filed under the name uncultured bacterium. Its description in RNAcentral is "partial 16S ribosomal RNA". It matches the Rfam family "Bacterial small subunit ribosomal RNA", at positions 524 to 776 of the family's 1533-position model. The record is from RNAcentral.